This 4793-nucleotide long non-coding RNA is filed under the name Prunus persica (peach). RNAcentral describes it as "long non-coding RNA (PPER_LNC008435)". Lineage: Eukaryota; Viridiplantae; Streptophyta; Magnoliopsida; Rosales; Rosaceae. The record is from RNAcentral.
UGAUCUUCAAUUCUCACUAGCUAGAUCCUCACAUUUGGUAGGCUUCUGCACACCAAAAUGGAGAAGAGAGAAAAAGCUCACUGUCUGGUCUUGUUCUAUCCAAGCCAAGGCCACAUUAAUCCAUUGCUCCAAUUCUCCAAGCGUUUAGAGCACAAAGGACUCAAAGUCACAUUUAUCACUACCCGCUCUGUUCUCAAGGCCAUGCAUGGAGGAGGAGGAGGAGGACAAUCACCAUCAUCAUUCUCUUCAAUUGCAUUGGAGACCAUUUCUGAUGGCUAUGAUGAAGGAGGAGCUUCCCAAGCAGAGAGCAUCGAGGCUUACUUGGACCGUUUUCGGGAAAUAGGUUCACAGACUUUAGCUGAGCUCAUUGAGGAAAUUUCUGGCUCAGGCCACCCUGCUGAUUGUCUAGUUUAUGAUUCAUGUAUGUCUUGGGCUCUUGAUGUGGCCAAAAGGGUUGGGAUUGCUGGGGCUGCUUUCUUCACCUUUUCUUGUGCUGUUACCAAUAUAUACUCUCUUGUCCAAAAUGGGCUGCUCAAAGUUCCUCUCAAUCCAGGCUCUGAGAUUUUGCUGCCAGGAUUACCACCUCUUCAACCUUCAGACACCCCAUCUUUCGUCUAUGUUUCUGGAUCGUACCCAGCUUUCUUUAAACUGAUUCUGGACCAGUUCUCUAAUCUUGACAAAGCUGAUUGGGUCUUGUGCAACACAUUUCAUGAGCUGGAACAAGAGGUAAACAAAAUUACUGAUAAGGAGGUAUAAGUGUAGUAGGGUUGUGCAUAUGUAGUGAUCAACAUCAUAAAUUGAGGUGGUUUUCAUGGUUUUCUGUUCCAAUUGAAUUCAUUCCUCUGUCCACGAAAUUAAAUAUCUCUCACUGUAUGCAUCACUAAUCAAGGGCUAUGACCAGCUUAUGAAUUUUUUUAAGUCUCUCACUUUGACCUUAUGAUUCAACUUCUCAGAUAACACCUACUUUCUUUUGUUUUCUUUUUCUCAUUUUAUGCAUAGGCGGUGGAUUGGAUGGCAAAGUUUUGGCCAUUGAGGACGAUUGGACCAACCAUACCAUCUAUGUACAUGGAUAAGCGUCAUGAAGACAACUGGGAGUAUGGUCUCAGCCUCUUAAAGCCAAACAGUGAUGCUUGCAUGAAAUGGUUAAAUGUGAAGCCAAAAGGGUCUGUAGCAUACGUUUCGUUUGGCAGUGUGGCAGAAAUUGGAGAAGAGCAAAUGGAGGAAUUGGGUUUGGGUUUAAGGAGAAGCAAAAGCUAUUUCUUGUGGGUGGUUAGGGAAAAAGAAGCAGCCAAGCUGCCAAAAGGGUUUGUGGAGGAGACAUCUGAGAAGGGCUUGGUGGUUUCAUGGUGCCCUCAAUUGGAAGUUUUGGCACAUAAGGCUGUAGGAUGCUUUGUCACACAUUGUGGCUGGAACUCUACUUUGGAGGGCUUGAGUUUGGGAGUUCCAAUGGUGGCAGUGCCACAAUGGACUGACCAAAGCACCAAUGCCAGGUUCAUCAUGGAUGUUUGGAAAACAGGGCUUAAAGCUCAAGCUGACAAGAAAGGGAUAGUGAGAGGAGAAGAAAUAACACAUUGCCUGAGAGAAAUAUUGGAUGGGGAGAGAGGAAAGGAGAUUCGAAAGAACACUUCAAAGUGGAAAGCAUUGGCCAAGAAUGCAGUGGAUGAAGGUGGAAGUUCUGAUAAAAACAUUGAUGAGUUCAUUGCAAAACUGGUUCAGAGUUAGGCUAGGCAAAGCUGCAAAAUUGCCGAGUACAAGUCCUCAUAUUGAAAAUAAAAGUGAGGCUAUAUAAUGUAACAGACUCUGUGAUUCUAAUAAACGGUUCAAAAAGAAGAAAUCUUCUGCAAACAAUUUUGUUACCUUCUGCGUGUGCAUAUAUAUCACCUUUGCAAUGACUCAUGUUACAGGUUUCUCAAUCGCAAAAAUUGCCUGAGAAGCUGUUAGAUGAGAGGUCAAGGUACAUAACGAAGGAAAGGAUGUUUAUUGAUGAUAUCAGUAGGAAGGUGUCCGCUUAGCUUGUUGCCUGAAAGAUAUAGGACUGCUUGUGCAGUUAAGCUAAGCCCUGAGGAAACUGGCCUUUUAGUCCCAAAUCCGAAAGACAGACUUUUCUUUCAUGCUCGUUCCAACACUCGAUUCCCAGAAAGUGACAGAUAAAACCUUCAUUAGUGUUGUUGCUGAAAUCCCAUUAAGAAUUUAAGUAGCCUUGCUACUCUCGACACCGAAGCUGAAACUACAACAAAAAAGCAGUAACCAGAGGACACUGUCAGUAAAAAUGCCAGCAUCUUGUUUACUCAACAACGUAUGCAUCAAGAAAGCCAUCAAAAUGGGCUUGAAAGAGACGUGCUAUUUAAUUAAUGAAAGCCAAAUGAGCAGUGAUAAAUAUAUUAUACUGAACCCAGAGAAGGGGUUAAACAAUCAACGACAAACUAUUUAAUGUAGUUGGAAAGAAAAAGUUGAGAGAUAUAUAAAAGACUCACACGGUCAACAACACAUAAAUUAAAAAUGCAAGAGUGAAAGUGAACGUGAGGUAAGGAAAUGAGCUCAUUGAACAAGUUAAUGAAAUGGAAAGAAGGUUAAAAGAAAUAGGAAGAGAUAGGAAAGAUUACAAGAUAUUUGUUGCAAUGAGUAGUGAGAAGAUCAGCAGUUAUCUACAUUUUUGGCAAUAAUUACGGGUCAUGUUAGGUAGAUCGCAUGAUUUGAUGACAUUGUAAAUUACGUCUCUAAUAGGGAUGGAGCCCACUAUUACAAUGGGUCUUACCUCUACUAAAAAGGUGGUUUACAAAAUAGUCUACAGAUGUGGUCUCCUUAGCAUUUUCCAUAUUACUAUGUAGGAUUGUUGUGAUUGUUGUGGGUGUGUUUGAGUCAUUUGUGGGUGAGCAAUUCUGCUGGAAUUGGGUUUAUUGUUAUCACUCAUCAGGCCCAUUUGGAGGCCAUUCCUUUAGUCAAAAGCUAAGCGACGACUUGGACUGCUAACUAUUGACUAUCCAGAGUGCUUGACUGCCCUCUGUUUCCAUCUUCUUUUAAAACCUUUUUUAAGUUCCAGUUCUUGUGUUACAAUUUAAUUCAUGUUUUGUCCUUUGGGAAUUUGUCCAAAGCAUCUGCAAGAGGAAGCUCGGACUAAGUCGACCCACAAAAAUAAAAAAAAUAAAAAAUAAGUAUUAGACACAACAAUUCUUACUAAUUAGAAUUUGAGACAUAAUUUUUAUUUGGGUUUUAAUACUUACGAAUCAAAUUUUGUUUUAAAUUUGGUCAAAAAGGAGACCUAGAUUCAUUGAGUUUGUCUAAAUUAGAAAAGUAAAAUACUGUUUUACCUUUUUUGUUUAAAAGUCUGGCCAAAAUUAGAUCUUACCAUUUCUCUCUCUCGACCAGGGCAGCCACAUUUCCAAUUUCACAAACAUGGCACGAUUUGCAAAUAUUGUGGUACUAAAUUUUCAUAAAUAAAUUAUUAUAGUGUUUUUAAUUUUCUUUCAUUACUUACUAUAUAUUUUCUAAACUCACAGUAUUUGACAAGCUCGUUAUAUAAUCAAUUUAAAUCACUCAAACCCACAAUGCAAUAUAUUUCCUUCCAAUUUUUUGUAAUAAAAUCAUAGAGAAUUGAUUAAAUAAACAUCCUCUAAAGUUUCAAUAAAAAUUUCCAAGUUUUCCCACAAUUUUCAUGAUUUUUAUACAAUUUUUACCAAUAUCGAUAUUUUUCAGAUAUUUUCAUCAAAAUUUUCAUGUUUUUAAACCACCGAUAUUUCCAAAACUCCCGAUAUUUUAGACCUUAGGCAAGACCAAUCAUGUGCAUAAUUUUCAAGGGGACAAUUGUGCUAUCAUACCUUCUUUUCUUUUUUUGUUUUGGAAAGAGACUAUUUCAUUCAAGACCAACAUAAGCCAAAGAUUACAGAAUAAGAUAAGACCCCAACAGUCAACUUGAAUUAAAACCAAUCAGGCAACUUGAACAAGGGUUGUGCGCUUUCAUACUUUGUUUCACCCAUAUAUGUGUGUUCGGAUAUACUGAGCGAAGUAAAACCAAUCAGUCAACUUGAAUAAGGGGGCCAAACGAGACAUUUAAAACCACACAAAUGGUCUCCAAUUUUGGCAUAUGCCAAGGUUUUUGAGCAGAGACAGUCUCUACUAAUAAAUAUUCAUUUAUAUUAUAAUAUGUGUAAAGUUCAUUGGCUGGUUUAUUUUGCUCUUCAAUUUUCACUAUAAAUCUUGCAAAUGUGGUUGGCUUCUGCACAACAAAAUGGAGAAGACAGAAAAAGCUCACUGUCUGGUCUUCUUCUGUCCAAUCCAAGGCCACAUUAAUCCCAUGCUCCAAUUCUCCAAGCGUUUAGAGCACAAAGGACUCAAAGUCACAUUGAUCACUACCCGCUCUGUUCACAAGGCCAUGCAUGAAGGAGGAGGAGAACAAUCUACAACAUCAUUCUCUUCCAUUGCAUUGGAGACCAUUUCUGAUGGCUUUGAUGGAGAAGGUGGGAGUGCCCAAGCAGAGAGCAUCCAGGCCUACAGGGACCGUGUUCGGGAAAUCGGCUCACAGACUUUGGCUGAGCUCAUUGACAAGCUCUCUGCCUCAGGCCACCCUGCGGAUUGUCUAGUUUAUGAUCCAGUUUUUCCUUGGGCUCUUGAUGUGGCCAAAAGGGUUGGGAUUGCUGCGGCUGCUUUCUUCACUGUAUCUUGUGCUGUUACCAACAUAUACUCACUUGUCCAUAAUGGGCUGCUCAAACUUCCUCUCAAUCCUGACUCUGAGAUUUUGCUGCCUGGAUUGCCACCUCUUCAACCUUCAGACACCCCAUCUUUCAUCUAUGUUCCUG